Molecule: microRNA precursor, 61 nt
Filed under: Bactrocera dorsalis (oriental fruit fly)
Lineage: Eukaryota; Metazoa; Arthropoda; Insecta; Diptera; Tephritidae
Description: microRNA bdo-mir-5b precursor (bdo-mir-5b-2)
Gene: bdo-mir-5b-2
Source: miRBase by way of RNAcentral
AAAGGAACGAUCGUUGUGGUAUAUGUAUUUUGCAAGUCUAUAUCACAGUGAUUUUCCUUGU